This 1441-nucleotide ribosomal RNA is filed under the name uncultured archaeon. RNAcentral describes it as "16S ribosomal RNA". It matches the Rfam family "Archaeal small subunit ribosomal RNA". The record is from RNAcentral.
UUCUGGUUGAUCCUGCCGGAGGUGACUGCUAUAGGAGUUCGCUUAAGCCAUGCGAGUCGAGAGGGUUCGGCCCUCGGCAGACUGCUCAGUAACACGUGGAGAACCUGCCCUAAGGUGGGGGAUAAUCUCGGGAAACUGAGGAUAAUACCCCAUAGCCCACUUAUGCUGGAAUGCUUAGUGGGCCAAAGCUCCGGCGCCUUAGGAUGGCUCUGCGGCCUAUCAGGUAGUAGUCAGGGCAACGGCCUGACUAGCCGACGACGGGUACGGGCGUUGAGAGACGUCGCCCGGAGAUGGAAUCUGAGACACGAUUCCAGGCCCUACGGGGCGCAGCAGGCGCGAAAACUUCGCAAUGUGGGAAACCACGACGAGGGAACUCCUAGUGCUAGCACACAGUGUUAGCUGUUUUCAUGCCUAAAAAGCAUGGAGAGUAAGGGCUGGGUAAGACGGGUGCCAGCCGCCGCGGUAAUACCCGCAGCUCAAGUGGUCACCGCUAUUAUUGGGCCUAAAGCGUCCGUAGCCUGUUUAGUAAAUGCCUGGGUAAAUCGUUCGGCUUAACCGAUCGAAUUUCAGGUAGACUGCUAGACUUGGGACCGGGAGAGGCCAGGGGUACUCCGGGGGUAGGGGUGAAAUCCUGUAAUCCCCGGGGGACCACCGGUGGCGAAGGCGCCUGGCUGGAACGGGUCCGACGGUGAGGGACGAAGCCCUGGGGAGCAAACCGGAUUAGAUACCCGGGUAGUCCAGGGUGUAAACGCUGCGGGCUCGGUGUCGGGGGUCCUGCGAGGGCACCCGGUGCCGGGGUGAAGACGUUAAGCCCGCCGCCUGGGGAGUACGGCCGCAAGGCUGAAACUUAAAGGAAUUGGCGGGGGAGCACCGCAACGGGAGGAGCGUGCGGUUUAAUUGGAUUCAACGCCGGAAAGCUNCACCGGGAAAGACUGGCAGAUGUGGAUCAGGCUGAAGGCCUUGUCCGAACGUCAAAGAGGUGGUGCAUGGCCGUCGUCAGCUCGUACCGUAAGGCGUUCUGUUAAGUCAGAUAACGANGCGAGAACCNCUUAUCCACAAUUGCCACCCAGGUCUCCGGAUCUGGAGCACAUUGUGGAGACCGCUGUUGCUAAAGCAGAGGAAGGAUAGGGCAACGGUAGGUCAGUAUGCCCCGAAUUUCCCGGGCUACACGCGCGCUAUAAAGGGCGGGACAAUGGGUAUCGACACCGAGAGGUGAAGGAAAUCCCGAAACCCGUCCAUAGUUUGGAUCGAGGGCUGCAACUCGCCCUCGUGAAACUGGAUUCCGUAGUAAUCGCGCCUCAAAAUGGCGCGGUGAAUAUGCCCCUGCUCCUUGCACACACCGCCCGUCAAACCAUCCGAGUUGGGUCUGAGUGAGGGUAUCCCUUCCUGGGGUAUUCGAACUCGGGUUCAGCGAGGAGGGUUAAGUCGUAACAAGGUAGCC